Molecule: long non-coding RNA, 624 nt
Filed under: Lotus japonicus
Lineage: Eukaryota; Viridiplantae; Streptophyta; Magnoliopsida; Fabales; Fabaceae
Description: long non-coding RNA (LJAP_LNC001379)
Source: RNAcentral
GCAGGAGAGAACUGUGACACAGUUUGAUUUGGCAAACCUGAACCUGAAAUUGCAUUAGGUUUGCUGGAGACUGGUGGUGUUAAAGCAGAAGAGAACUGUGAUACAGUUUGGUAUGGCAAGCUUGAACCAGAAAUCACAUUAGGUUUGCUGGAGACCGGGGGCAUUAAAGCAGGAGAGAACUGUGAUACAGUUUGAUAUAGCAAACCUGAGCCUGAAAUUGCAUUAGGUUUGCUGGAGACCGGUGGCACUAUAGCAUUUACAUCUGGACCAGAAUUGGUCAAUGGGGUCAGUGAUGGAAAGUUAGAAGCUAGCGAAACUGCUGAAGUUGAAACAUUUGUUGCCUUGUUGGCUAAUGCAACUGGCAAAAUUUCUGAAGCUAGGGUAGCAGAAGGUGCAGGAGGCAAUGCAGAAGGUGCGCGAGGCAAUGCAGAAGGUGCAGGAGACAAUGCCGCAGGUGCAGGAGGCAAUGCAGAAGGUGCAGGAGGAAAAUUUAACAGAGGUAAAGAAGCAGAUGUUACACUGGUUGUGCUUGUACUCGCAGGUAGCAAAGAAGAUGGCAAUUCCGGCAAAUUAGAAGAUACAGCCGGUGAAGAGAGACUAAAAUUGGGGUACUGCAUAGGCUGC